AUGAGCUGGAAGAACAAUGCAGUGAGAUCAACAGAGAGAAGGAGAAGAACACGCAGCUGAAGAGGAGGAUCGAGGAGCUGGAGGCAGAGCUCCGAGAAAAGGAGACAGAGCUGAAAGAUCUCCGAAAACAAAGUGAAAUCAUACCUCAGCUCAUGUCAGAGUGCGAAUAUGUCUCUGAGAAGCUAGAGGCGGCAGAGAGAGACAAUCAAAACCUGGAAGACAAAGUGCGUUCCUUAAAGACAGACAUUGAGGAGAGCAAAUACCGACAGCGCCACCUGAAGGUGGAGUUGAAGAGCUUCCUGGAGGUGCUGGACGGGAAGAUUGAUGACCUGCAUGACUUCCGCCGAGGGCUCUCCAAGCUGGGCACCGAUAACUAGGGCUGGCCGAGGCCCAGGCCCCGCCCUGGCCCUGGAGCAACCUGGACGGUGUUCCCUUGAGCUGGUGUGACGUGCCCUCGUUUAUUCUGACAUCCAGCCCAGUCUCAGUACUGUUGUCAUAACCUUACGCCAGACUCAGGCAGAAUGUAAGCCAUUCACUCGUGAGCAUCGCAGCCGCUUGUGCUGCCUGGAAGCUGCAGGGCCAGGACUGCAUUUUCAGUUUGCAAUUGAGGUCUCCUGAUUUUGAUGUUUCCAAGACUGGCUGCUAUACCUUGAUAAGCUUUCCUUCUGCCUCCAUGAAACCUGGUGUCUAAAAAAGAUCAACUAAAACUUGGAACCCUUUAACCAAGAGGACCUUUAAAAAUAACCUUUCAUUCCAGUCAAGACCCAGCUGGAUGCAUUUUAAAGUUGGGAGUGGCGAGGAAGCCUUCCUAGUGCCGCCCGGGGAAUGUAAAACCACCAGAGCAACAGGUUGGGACAGUAUGGUCAGGCCUUGGAGGGAAAGAGAACCAGUAUCCACACAAGACCUCGAACUUGUGUGGCCCCUCAGUUUCAUCUCUCCUGCCUGCCAUCACAUUAGACUUUAAUUGGGUGAGAGAACAGGGCAGAGACUGUCACCUGCAUUUUGCAGAUGGGAAGUAGAGACAGAGAAAGUGACACACCCAGGGUCACCCAGCGGUGACCAGCAGCGUGGACUCUGCAUCCAGGUCUCCUGGACCUUGAUGCAGUAUCUUUUGAGACAUGCC
Molecule: long non-coding RNA, 1123 nt
Filed under: Pan troglodytes (chimpanzee)
Lineage: Eukaryota; Metazoa; Chordata; Mammalia; Primates; Hominidae
Description: long non-coding RNA NONPTRT005758
Source: RNAcentral